This is a long non-coding RNA of Epinephelus fuscoguttatus (brown-marbled grouper), 1605 nucleotides long. RefSeq lists it as uncharacterized. The transcript has 4 exons. The record is from RefSeq and is a predicted model, not a curated record. NCBI's taxonomy places the organism in Eukaryota, Metazoa, Chordata, Actinopteri, Perciformes, Serranidae.
CCUCACAGGAGCGCAUCGUAUCGGCUGUGGAGACGCUGGCUGGAGCUCCAGCAGAGACCAGAGACCAUCACUGCGCUGGACCACAGGGAGGAAGCAGCUUCUUUUAUUGCUUAUCGGAAAUAAUCACACUGAUCGAUCCGCUUUAUUUGGUGAAGCGGCAGUCACUUUACGCACGGAUUCUGUGGACGCUUAAAGUGGAUUAAACGCUGCCGUUACAGCGCUGACACACGUGGAGGAGUUAUUAUUAUCAUUAUUAAUAUUAUUAUUACUGGGAAAACUUCAUGAUGGCGACAGCUGACGGAUUCAACACCCCAGCUGUGAAUCCUCUUGGAGCAUAUGAGGAAAUACAGCCUCUCGGGAUGAGUGGUGUCCAUGCCUCCUGCUGCCCAGGUCCUGCUGCUGGACAAGCCGUCUGUCGGACACACGAGUCUCUUGGGAUACUUCGCGCGUGUGGCCAGUGUCACAGAUGGCGAGCACCAUGAUUGUUUUGGAGAUUUCUAGCGGUGGAUUUUGGCACAAUUAUAAAAAGGAAUAUCCUGGAAUAUAUUUUGAAAUUGAUGCUCAGCAGACGUGCAGCAGUUUGGAUAAUGACAUCUCCGCAUCCAGCAGUGAAGGAAUCCAAAUUCUUGGAAUGAGAUGUCAACCUUUAAUUGCUUCCAAGGGAUCUUCUGAUGAUCUCAGGUGAGCACCCAGAAGAGGCUGAGUCAUGGAAACAUGAUCUCAAGAGAUUCAACAGGAUCAUAUUAAAUCCUGGUUUGGACUUCGGACCAGCAUCCCCCUGCAGCAGAUGUUUGCUGCUGGCAUGGCUGCAAACAGCGUGAGCUCCAUCGCUGACAAUCUCGCUCUCAGGGAUCCAGCACCAGCAGCUCGGACUUGGAGAAGCCUUGACAUAAACUCAGCGGGACAGUGGAGUGCACUCUGCCGCUCAGACAUUAUGGAACAGAUCAGUCAACCCUGUGCGGAGAGGCGUGCGAUAGGAAAGUCAACUCGAUGAAUGUCCGUUUACCGUAGUUACCACAAUGGAUCUACACAUUGUUUGACUUUUUCUAAAUUGAACCUGGAUUAAUAUUUUCCCAUGUAUACAUCUGCUUUUCAUAUUCUGUGUUUAUUCACGCUGUUGCUCAUACACAGCAGUUGUGACAUAUACUGUGUUAUUCUGGAUAUAGUAUCAACAAGCGCUGGAACCGUAAAUGGAAAAUAAUCAGAUGUUAUUUUCAUUUUUAGCUCUAUUUUUACAGACUGACGGCAGCGCUCACACCACUGCAGUCACAUCCACAGUUUAACUUGCGAAGAGAAAUGUUUCCUGUUGUGUAAAAUGAGUUAAUGCACCUACUAUCGAAAUAUCUCAGCAGCAUUACUCAGUCUCGGAAAUGUAACAUUCCCAUUUGACAUCUUCUAAUUGCGAUCACAAAGAGGCCAUUGUAAUCAAGGUACUUAUGAAUACAAACCAAAACCUCGGCUAUUGACACUACAUUUCACUUUGACACAUUGGCAGCUUUUGCUAUUAUUACCGUCAGGCUGUUUAUUCUCAUGAUGAUUAAUAGCUCCAUAACUUUUGUUGUGUCUCUGAAACCCUAUUAACAGAAAUAAAGAGAGUGUGUCCAA